RNAcentral lists this non-coding RNA (30 nucleotides) under Mus musculus (house mouse). Lineage: Eukaryota; Metazoa; Chordata; Mammalia; Rodentia; Muridae. The record is from RNAcentral.
UAGCAGAACAAUCGUCUUUGGUUUCUCCUG